UAUCCAAAAAAAAUUGUUCUU
This 21-nucleotide non-coding RNA is filed under the name Caenorhabditis elegans. The record is from RNAcentral. Lineage: Eukaryota; Metazoa; Nematoda; Chromadorea; Rhabditida; Rhabditidae.